This 436-nucleotide ribosomal RNA is filed under the name uncultured Porphyromonadaceae bacterium. Its description in RNAcentral is "bacterial SSU rRNA". It matches the Rfam family "Bacterial small subunit ribosomal RNA", at positions 349 to 782 of the family's 1533-position model. Lineage: Bacteria; Pseudomonadati; Bacteroidota; Bacteroidia; Bacteroidales; Porphyromonadaceae. The record is from RNAcentral.
CAGCAGUGAGGAAUAUUGGUCAAUGGGCGAGAGCCUGAACCAGCCAAGUCGCGUGAAGGAUGAAGGUUCUAUGGAUUGUAAACUUCUUUUGUCCGAGGGUAAAGUGUGGUACGCGUACCAUAUUGCAAGUAUCGGACGAAUAAGCAUCGGCUAACUCCGUGCCAGCAGCCGCGGUAAUACGGAGGAUGCGAGCGUUAUCCGGAUUUAUUGGGUUUAAAGGGUGCGUAGGCGGGCUGUUAAGUCAGUGGUGAAAGUUUGCGGCUCAACCGUAAAAUUGCCGUUGAAACUGGUAGUCUUGAGUGUAAAUGAGGUAGGCGGAAUGUGACAUGUAGCGGUGAAAUGCUUAGAUAUGUCCCAGAACUCCGAUUGCGAAGGCAGCUUACUAAGAUACAACUGACGCUGAGGCACGAAAGCGUGGGUAUCAAACAGGCUUAGA